Triticum aestivum (bread wheat) is the source of this 755-nucleotide long non-coding RNA. RefSeq lists it as uncharacterized. NCBI's taxonomy places the organism in Eukaryota, Viridiplantae, Streptophyta, Magnoliopsida, Poales, Poaceae. The transcript is spliced from 4 exons. The record is from RefSeq and is a predicted model, not a curated record.
UGGAUGAUGUUGUGGAGAGGGCCACCGAGAGGGAGUUUGCAUUGCCAAAGUCGAAGGUGGCCAUCGCCUUGACCUGCCUGGACCUCCUGACCUUUCACAACGCUCAAACAGGAAACACAUGUUGGAGGAGGAGAACACAAGCUAAUUGAUGAUUUGGAUGAGUGGAUCAGAGGACGACAUGAGCAGCUCAAGUCUCUCAACACGCGGAUGGAUGAUGUUGUGGAGAGGGCCAUCGAGAGGGGGUUUGCAUUGCCAAAGUUGAAGGUGGCCAUCGCCUUGACCUGCCUGGACCUCCUGACCUUUCACAACGCUCAAACAGGAAACACAUGUUGGAGGAGGAGACCACAAGCUAAUUGAUGAUUUGGAUGAGUGGAUCAGAGGACGACAUGAGCAGGUAUUUCCAUUUGAUCAUACCCAAAAUGAUAAUGUAUACCCUAACUUAAGAUGAUGGCUCUUCUACUCUGCUAACAUAACAUGCAUGUGCUUGUGUGGAGUGCCUGCAAAAUUAAUAUCUCAAGUCUCUCAACACGCAGAUGUGGAGAGGGUUCUCCUAGCGGUCAUUGCAACUGUGAUAUGCAUUUCCUUGCUCUCGGCUCUGAUCAAGUUUGUAGCGUCUGGGAAUGUGCAUAUGAAAAUCCACACGUGCGAUUUGGUUGUUAUAUUUUUUCCACACUGGUUUCUAGAGAUGUUCAAGUUAUCUCAUAUACUAUAUCGAAUUAUAAUGGAUAAGUUAGUGUACAUACUGAUUUGAAGAU